This 465-nucleotide ribosomal RNA is filed under the name uncultured bacterium. RNAcentral describes it as "bacterial SSU rRNA". It matches the Rfam family "Bacterial small subunit ribosomal RNA", at positions 28 to 536 of the family's 1533-position model. The record is from RNAcentral.
GAUAAACGCUGGCGGCGUGCCUAACACAUGCAAGUCGAACGAUCCCGCAAGGGAGAGUGGCGGAAGGGUGAGUAACACGUGGGAAUCUACCUCCUCGCAGGGAACAACCUCUCGAAAGAGAGGCUAAUACCCAAAAGGGUCAGAAAUGAUCAGAGUCGAAAGGCGUGAGGAGAGGAGCCCGCGGCCCAUCAGCUAGUUGGUGAGGUAAUGGCCUACCAAGGCGACGAUCGGUAGCUGGUCUGAGAGGACGAUCAGCCACACUGGGACUGAGACACGGCCCAGACUCCUACGGGAGGCAGCAGUGGGGAAUAUUGGGCAAUGGGCGCAAGCCUGACCCAGCCAUGCCGCGUGAGUGACGAAGGCCUUAGGGUUGUAAAGCUCUUUCGGCGGGGACGAUGAUGACGGUACCCGCAGAAGAAGCCCCGGCUAACUUCGUGCCAGCAGCCGCGGUAAUGUGACGCCUCU